RNAcentral lists this ribosomal RNA (254 nucleotides) under uncultured bacterium. RNAcentral describes it as "partial 16S ribosomal RNA". It matches the Rfam family "Bacterial small subunit ribosomal RNA", at positions 524 to 777 of the family's 1533-position model. The record is from RNAcentral.
UACGAAGGGGGCUAGCGUUGCUCGGAAUCACUGGGCGUAAAGCGCACGUAGGCGGCUUUCUAAGUCAAGGGUGAAAUCCUGGAGCUCAACUCCAGAACUGCCUUUGAUACUGGAGAGCUUGAGUCCGGGAGAGGUGAGUGGAACUCCGAGUGUAGAGGUGAAAUUCGUAGAUAUUCGGAAGAACACCAGUGGCGAAGGCGGCUCACUGGCCCGGUACUGACGCUGAUGUGCGAAAGCGUGGGGAGCAAACAGGG